Molecule: ribosomal RNA, 775 nt
Filed under: uncultured Neocallimastigales
Lineage: Eukaryota; Fungi; Neocallimastigomycota; Neocallimastigomycetes; Neocallimastigales
Description: partial large subunit ribosomal RNA
Rfam family: Eukaryotic large subunit ribosomal RNA
Source: RNAcentral
UACUAGAGUAGCACUCGCAUAUCAAUAAGCGGAGGAAAAGAAACUAACAAGGAUUCCCCUAGUAACGGCGAGUGAAGCGGGAAGAGCUCAAAUCUGAAAUCUUAAAGGGUUUCCCUUUACGAAUUGUAGUUUAAAGAAGUGUUUUCUGUUGAGGUUUUGGUAAAAGUUCUUUGGAAUAGGACAUCAUAGAGGGUGAGAAUCCCGUAUUUGACCUUUACUUUCAACUUUGUGAUACACUUUCAAAGAGUCGGAUUGUUUGGGAAUGCAGUCCAAAAUGGGUGGUAAAUUUCAUCUAAGGCUAAAUAUUGGCGAGAGACCGAUAGCGAACAAGUACCGUGAGGGAAAGAUGAAAAGAACUUUGAAAAGAGAGUUAAACAGUACGUGAAAUUGUCAAAAGGGAAGCGUUUGACACCAGUGUUGUUUUUCUGAAAAUCAAUUAAAGAACUGUUUAUGCUAAGUUGUUUAGACUUUAUCAGCUAAUCUGUUUAGUUUUGAGCUUUUCUUUAAUGCACUUUUCAGUUAACAAGUCAACAUCAAUUUCUUUUGCUGUAAAAAAGCUUGAGGAAGGUGGCUUGAGAUUCGUCUUAAGUGUUUAUAGCCUCUUGCCUAUGCAGUCGGAGAGAUUGAGGUCUGCAGCGUAGAUCCUUCGGGGCUAAAUGCAUUUGUGCUAAGUUAUAGCAUUUUAUAGACAACUUGUUGACUAUGAUUUGUCUUGUAGCUUACUCGCUUAUGUUAUUUUACCUACGCUUAGGAUGUUGAGCGCAUGUCUCUCUCU